UACAGAGGGUGCGAGCGUUGUCCGGAAUCACUGGGCGUAAAGGGCGCGUAGGCGGCUGGGUAAGCGUGCGGUGAAAGUCCGGGGCUCAACCCCGGAUCGGCCAUGCGAACUGUCCAGCUGGAGCACGGUAGAGGCACAUGGAAUUCCGGGUGUAGCGGUGGAAUGCGUAGAGAUCCGGAAGAACACCGGUGGCGAAGGCGGUGUGCUGGGCCGUAGCUGACGCUGAGGCGCGACAGCGUGGGGAGCAAACAGG
This 253-nucleotide ribosomal RNA is filed under the name uncultured bacterium. RNAcentral describes it as "partial 16S ribosomal RNA". It matches the Rfam family "Bacterial small subunit ribosomal RNA", at positions 524 to 776 of the family's 1533-position model. The record is from RNAcentral.